This 29-nucleotide non-coding RNA is filed under the name Bombyx mori (domestic silkworm). Lineage: Eukaryota; Metazoa; Arthropoda; Insecta; Lepidoptera; Bombycidae. The record is from RNAcentral.
UAGCUGUCCGCUGAUUCGGCGUAGGCGGC